Molecule: non-coding RNA, 155 nt
Filed under: Fragilariopsis kerguelensis
Lineage: Eukaryota; Bacillariophyta; Bacillariophyceae; Bacillariales; Bacillariaceae
Source: RNAcentral
GAAAAUGGAAUAAAUGGUGUAUGUAGUUAGAAUGAUUCGAAUAAUGAUGUUUUGUUUUCUUUUUGUUUCCUUUAUUUUCAUUUCCUGUUUCUUCGUCAUUAUUAUUCCCAUUGUCGAACGAUGACAACGAGAUGCUUCACGAGAGAAUAGUGUAC